Molecule: long non-coding RNA, 1393 nt
Filed under: Brassica rapa (field mustard)
Lineage: Eukaryota; Viridiplantae; Streptophyta; Magnoliopsida; Brassicales; Brassicaceae
Description: long non-coding RNA (BRAP_LNC003071)
Source: RNAcentral
GUGGGAAUACAAUUGGAGCCACAAAUGUAGCAAAGAAUAGGGACACAACUAAGCCUGUAAAAGUGCAAGUAAAUGCAACAUGUAGGGGGUAGAAAAUGUAAUAUAAAAAUCUGUAAAAGGACCACAUAGAUACAGAGAGUAGAAAAAGGAGAAGAGUGUCUUAAAUUACAAAGAACCCGAGGAUCAGGGGGACUUUUUCUUCCUUUCUUUUUCUUUCAAGAUUUGUAUCUUUUUUUUUUUUGGUGACACGCGAGAGAACAGUCUACAUCGAUAGCUACAGCAAUAGAGCAGGGGCUAUAAGAGCAUCCACGCAAAGGGGUUUAAGAUUGGGGUACGACCCGGACAAAACGGGUUACAAAUCCAAUUACCCAAUUGGUUAAUGCCCCGACAUCUGUUUCCUAUCUUCUUUUGGAAAGUCUCGACCUUCACGCUCUUUCCUGGAGCGUCCUCUCUAAUCUUCAUUCUUUUUUUUUUUGGGACAAGACAGGAGUUACGUGCGUGGAAGCACGCGCUGUUGCAUACAGUAAGGGUGAUGGUGUUUUGUUUUCUAGGAGAAGAGUAAAUGAUUUUCGUAAGAAGAAAAGUUUUACUUUACUUUUCUUUUCUGACUGAUUACUAUUUCAGGCCUUUAAACGCAGCUUUAAUCAGUUGUGUCAGUGCUACCCAGCGCACUAAGAUUGAUUCAUAAUUAAAUUAGGUGGUGCGUUUUCAAUUUGAUGCAGUAUUUGUUUUGUUUUGUUUUUAUUUGUUUUAUGAAACCACCAAACUUGCUUUUCUUGACAAUUUUGAAGUAAUAUGUUUAGAUCAUGCAAUUUAGAAAUGAUAUCGUAUUUUGUGUUGGAAUGGUACAGAACAUUUUGUAUUAUUAAAAUGAAAUGAGAUGAAAUCGUAUAUGAGUUUAAAAUAUAACAAUGUUAAAAGAUGGAAUUCCAAGUCAGCGUAAUGAGAUGUCUCAGUAUAUCCGUUCUGCUAUAGGCUGGAAGUUCAAUACAGCGUUAUUGGUCAACGACAAGAAAAUACAUUUUAUAAGACGAUUACGACUUCUGACAUUAUGGAACAUUUGAACGUCGAUACCAAGAAGAUGACUUCUUAAUGCUACUAGCAACAUUGACAAUAGGGGUGGGCGUUCGGGUAUCCGUUCGGGUUCGGGUCGGGUAUUUCGGAUUUUCGGGUAUUUCGGUAUAGAGGUGUAGAACCCGUUCGGGUAUUUCUGUACUUCGGGUCGGGUUCGGAUAUUUUUAGUUCGGGUUCGGUUAUUUCGGAUCGGGUUCGGAUAUUUAGAUUUAAAAAAAAACAAAAUUAAAUUAAAAUUUUCAAAUUUCUUGUAUUUAAAAAUAUAACUUUCACUUCACUAAUCUUUUAUUUUUAAUAGAUUGAAUGGUUAAUAGAUUUG